This is a long non-coding RNA of Tripterygium wilfordii, 372 nucleotides long. RefSeq lists it as uncharacterized. The record is from RefSeq and is a predicted model, not a curated record. The transcript is spliced from 3 exons. NCBI's taxonomy places the organism in Eukaryota, Viridiplantae, Streptophyta, Magnoliopsida, Celastrales, Celastraceae.
UCUACAGUGCACGACCGGACCCUCCCUACCCUCUUUUCUUCAAUUGUUCUUUUAUUCUCAAUUUUCUGUGCGGCCGUGCUCUCUCCUCGCCACUGCAACCACAAGUUCCAACAUCACCACCCACUCAAGUCACCGGCCAGCCAUCUUCUUUCCGUAAGAAACCACCCACAAACCUUAUUUACUGUAAUGAUUUCCAAACCAAGAGACUUUCUUUGAUACUUUUUGGAUUGGCAACAAAAGGGUUGGCUCAUUGGAUAAUACUUGACGCGUGUUGCUUAAGCUUGUAAAGUUUGUGUCUACAAGAGGUUAGGAAAUGUUCAGGAUCGACUGCCGAAGGCGUGACAGUGCGGUGUAGCCCAUGUAUAUUAGAUG